Small nucleolar RNA from Pteropus vampyrus (large flying fox), 72 nucleotides. Ensembl annotates it as small nucleolar RNA, C/D box 107. Its record names the gene SNORD107. Lineage: Eukaryota; Metazoa; Chordata; Mammalia; Chiroptera; Pteropodidae. The record is from Ensembl.
GGUUCAUGAUGACGUGGGACCUUGUCUGAGCGUAAUGAUUUCAAACUUUGAGCUUGACAUGACACUGAAAUC